AGACCGUGGAGAACAACACAGAGGAGGAAGGACGGAGACGGACACAUCCUCAGUCCUCCCUUCAACAUGCUGCCCAGCAUCCACACAUACCUGCAGGGCACAGAGAAAGUGAUCCUGCUCAGUCCACGUUGGUCUUACCGUUUCUGUGAGGGCGUCAUCAGAGCGGAGAGCUUGUCAUUGUAGAACCUCCUCAUGGCGAAGUGGUCGAGAGAAAGGUCUGCACUGAGAGAGACGCAGAUAUUCAGGUUUUCCAGGACAUGUGGGAACCCUGAGAAAGCUCCAGAACAGCUACUACUAUAAACAGACUCGUGGUGAGAUUGAUUCAUCUCCGUUAUAUUUGAGUUGCAGCAGAAAUCUCUGAAGCAAAAACUGGUCAAAUAAAACUAUCUGCACGACGAGAUACAACUGAAGGUACAUUUUUUUCUUUUGUAAUUUGCGUGAAUUGACACACCUUUGCAUACCUGCACUUGCUCACACAAGCACACAGAUCAUUCCCAGAGAGGACGGACAAUGGUCACAAUCAGAUAUUUCUCAACACUCAGUCAGCUGU
Dicentrarchus labrax (European seabass) is the source of this 550-nucleotide long non-coding RNA. RefSeq lists it as uncharacterized. NCBI's taxonomy places the organism in Eukaryota, Metazoa, Chordata, Actinopteri, Moronidae. The record is from RefSeq and is a predicted model, not a curated record. The transcript is spliced from 3 exons.